RNAcentral lists this long non-coding RNA (227 nucleotides) under Lathyrus oleraceus (garden pea). RNAcentral's name for it is "Pisum sativum (pea) long non-coding RNA (PSAT_LNC033926)". The record is from RNAcentral. Lineage: Eukaryota; Viridiplantae; Streptophyta; Magnoliopsida; Fabales; Fabaceae.
UCUAUUUCAUGAGUUAUGAAUCCCCCCAAUCCUAAAACUACUAAGUUGUUUAAAUAGAGCAAGGGAAUUUGGGCCUAAUAGCAACCGACCCGAAAAAAUACAAAAUCGGCCCCAAAACUAAGUAUUUUCUUAAGUCUGGAAAUAAAACGAAUUAUUCGACUCUUCUUAUUUCUGAAUCAGCUUCUGACUUCAACAUGAAACUUUUAUCUUAUCCUCUCAGCUUUCCA